Molecule: ribosomal RNA, 636 nt
Filed under: uncultured bacterium
Lineage: Bacteria
Description: bacterial SSU rRNA
Rfam family: Bacterial small subunit ribosomal RNA (bases 1-544)
Source: RNAcentral
CCUACGGGAGGCAGCAGUGGGGAAUUUUGGACAAUGGGGGCAACCCUGAUCCAGCCAUGCCGCGUGUGCGAAGAAGGCCUUCGGGUUGUAAAGCACUUUUGUCAGGAACGAAAAGUUCUGCCCUAAUACGGUAGGACGAUGACGGUACCUGAAGAAUAAGCACCGGCUAACUACGUGCCAGCAGCCGCGGUAAUACGUAGGGUGCAAGCGUUAAUCGGAAUUACUGGGCGUAAAGCGUGCGCAGGCGGUUGUAUAAGACAGAUGUGAAAUCCCCGGGCUCAACCUGGGAACUGCAUUUGUGACUGUACGGCUAGAGUGUGUCAGAGGGGGGUGGAAUUCCACGUGUAGCAGUGAAAUGCGUAGAUAUGUGGAGGAACACCAAUGGCGAAGGCAGCCCCCUGGGAUAACACUGACGCUCAUGCACGAAAGCGUGGGGAGCAAACAGGAUUAGAUACCCUGGUAGUCCACGCCCUAAACGAUGUACAACUAGUUGUUGGGUCAAUAUAUGACUUGGUAACGUAGCUAACGCGUGAAGUUGACCGCGUGGGGAGGUACGGUCCGGCGAACGGUUAAACGUUAAAGGUAAAGUUAGUUAGGUCGUUGAGACGUGCCGACGGACGACGACGAGGGAGGAGG